This 497-nucleotide ribosomal RNA is filed under the name uncultured bacterium. Its description in RNAcentral is "partial 16S ribosomal RNA". It matches the Rfam family "Bacterial small subunit ribosomal RNA", at positions 28 to 507 of the family's 1533-position model. The record is from RNAcentral.
GAUGAACGCUGGCGGCGUGCCUAAUACAUGCAAGUCGAGCGAACAGACGAGGAGCUUGCUCCUCUGACGUUAGCGGCGGACGGGUGAGUAACACGUGGAUAACCUACCUAUAAGACUGGGAUAACUUCGGGAAACCGGAGCUAAUACCGGAUAAUAUAUUGAACCGCAUGGUUCAAUAGUGAAAGACGGUUUUGCUGUCACUUAUAGAUGGAUCCGCGCCGCAUUAGCUAGUUGGUAAGGUAACGGCUUACCAAGGCAACGAUGCGUAGCCGACCUGAGAGGGUGAUCGGCCACACUGGAACUGAGACACGGUCCAGACUCCUACGGGAGGCAGCCGUAGGGAAUCUUCCGCAAUGGGCGAAAGCCUGACGGAGCAACGCCGCGUGAGUGAUGAAGGUCUUCGGAUCGUAAAACUCUGUUAUUAGGGAAGAACAAAUGUGUAAGUAACUAUGCACGUCUUGCCGGUACCUAAUCAGAAAGCCACGGCUAACUACGUG